GUAGGUGAACCUGCGGAAGGAUCAUUAAAAAUGAAGCCGGGAAACCGGUCCUUCUAACCCUUGAUUAUCAUAAUUUGUUGCUUUGGUAGGCCGCGCAAGCACCGGCUCCGGCUGGUUAGUGCCUACCAGAGAACCACAACUCUGUAAUAAAUGUCGUCUGAGUACUAUAAAAUAGUUAAAACUUUCAACAACGGAUCUCUUGGUUCUGGCAUCGAUGAAGAACGCAGCAUCUCGAGCAAACAUCUCGUAU
Molecule: unclassified non-coding RNA, 250 nt
Filed under: plant metagenome
Description: partial contains small subunit ribosomal RNA, internal transcribed spacer 1, and 5.8S ribosomal RNA
Source: RNAcentral